RNAcentral lists this ribosomal RNA (510 nucleotides) under Triticum aestivum (bread wheat). RNAcentral describes it as "partial small subunit ribosomal RNA". The record is from RNAcentral. Lineage: Eukaryota; Viridiplantae; Streptophyta; Magnoliopsida; Poales; Poaceae.
AUGUCAUGUCCCUGCUAUGCUGUUGGUCUGGAGCACACUGUUAGAUCUACCACGAGCCAUGAGUGGCCCCCACCGGACCAACACCGGUGUGUGGGGCCCACAGGGGUCUGCUUUCAGAACAAGCAUCAUCAUCAUCAUCAUUGUGGUGUUAGAUGUUGUGAUCCCGAAUUCUGGAUCAGAAUUAUGCAGCACUGUACUGGUUCCAGUUCCCUGCAGUGUAGGUCAGUUAACCUCAAACCAGCCAAUGGCAAUUGGGUUAAGUCACUUAACCAUGGUGAGUUGGAGAAACCAUACACUGAAGCAGCAGCACGCUGCUACUUCCAAGCGGAUGCAAACAGGACACCAGCUAAUAAUGAUGCUGUUCAUGAAGAAUUCUCUUAUGGAUGCAUGAGCGCGACAUCUUCAAAAUGUUUGUUAGCUCAUCAGUUCAUGAUCUGCAUUAAAACAGUCGUCUCAACCAACAAAUCAAGAUGCCCUACCCAUCCUGUUUGUUCAGCUCAUCUGCAUUAA